This 460-nucleotide ribosomal RNA is filed under the name uncultured bacterium. RNAcentral's name for it is "bacterial SSU rRNA". It matches the Rfam family "Bacterial small subunit ribosomal RNA", at positions 215 to 683 of the family's 1533-position model. The record is from RNAcentral.
GCGGUAUGGGAUGGGGUCGCGUCCUAUCAGCUUGAUGGCGGGGUAACGGCCCACCAUGGCUUCGACGGGUAGCCGGCCUGAGAGGGCGACCGGCCACAUUGGGACUGAGAUACGGCCCAGACUCCUACGGGAGGCAGCAGUGGGGAAUAUUGCACAAUGGGCGCAAGCCUGAUGCAGCGACGCCGCGUGCGGGAUGACGGCCUUCGGGUUGUAAACCGCUUUUGACUGGGAGCAAGCCCUUCGGGGUGAGUGUACCUUUCGAAUAAGCACCGGCUAACUACGUGCCAGCAGCCGCGGUAAUACGUAGGGUGCAAGCGUUAUCCGGAAUUAUUGGGCGUAAAGGGCUCGUAGGCGGUUCGUCGCGUCCGGUGUGAAAGUCCAUCGCUUAACGGUGGAUCCGCGCCGGGUACGGGCGGGCUUGAGUGCGGUAGGGGAGACUGGAAUUCCCGGUGUAACGGUG